RNAcentral lists this ribosomal RNA (550 nucleotides) under uncultured bacterium. Its description in RNAcentral is "bacterial SSU rRNA". It matches the Rfam family "Bacterial small subunit ribosomal RNA", at positions 777 to 1329 of the family's 1533-position model. The record is from RNAcentral.
AAUAGAUACCCCGGUAGUCCACGCCCUAAACGAUGUCGACUGGGUGUUGGGGAAGCGAUUUCCCAGUACCGUAGCUAACGCGUGAAGUCGACCGCCUGGGGAGUACGGCCGCAAGGUUAAAACUCAAAGGAAUUGACGGGGACCCGCACAAGCGGUGGAUGAUGUGGAUUAAUUCGAUGCAACGCGAACAACCUUACCUACCCUUGACAUGUCCGGAAGCCCGGUGAGAGCUGGGGGUGCCCGAAAGGGAACCGGAACACAGGUGCUGCAUGGCUGUCGUCAGCUCGUGUCGUGAGAUGUUGGGUUAAGUCCCGCAACGAGCGCAACCCUUGUCCCUAGUUGCUACGCAAGGGCACUCUAGGGAGACUGGCCGGUGACAAACCGGAGGAAGGUGGGGAUGACGUCAAGUCCUCAUGGCCCUUAUGGGUAGGGCUUCACACGUCAUACAAUGGCCGGUACAGAGGGUUGCCAAGCCGCGAGGCGGAGCCAAUCCCCGCAAAAGCCGGUCGUAGUCCGGAUUGCAGUCUGCAACUCGACUGCAUGAAGUCGG